UACAGAGGUCCCGAGCGUUGUUCGGAUUCACUGGGCGUAAAGGGUGCGUAGGCGGUCGGGUAAGUCUGAUGUGAAAUCUCACAGCUUAACUGUGAAACUGCAUUGGAUACUAUUCGGCUUGAGGUCUGGAGGGGGGACUGGAAUACUUGGUGUAGCAGUGAAAUGCGUAGAUAUCAAGUGGAACACCAGUGGCGAAGGCGAGUCUCUGGACAUUUCCUGACGCUGAGGCACGAAAGCCAGGGGAGCAAACGGG
Molecule: ribosomal RNA, 253 nt
Filed under: uncultured bacterium
Lineage: Bacteria
Description: partial 16S ribosomal RNA
Rfam family: Bacterial small subunit ribosomal RNA
Source: RNAcentral